UCUUUCCAUGAAUUCCACUUACCUUGAAAUAAGGGAAGGAUAGAGGGCCUUCACAAAUGUGCCUUCUAAUGGUUAGAAUCUGGAUACAUAGUGCAGGGAAUGUGGAGAGACGGUGUUGCAGAGCUAUGGUAUAGAAACUUCAGCCUUAGUCAGGAUCCCAAAUGAGGCUUUCCUGCAGGCAGCUUUCCAGUAAAGGACCCACUACAGCAAUAAAGUGGAUUCCACUCUUUCCUCUCGAUGCCCCAGACCUACCCUUACUUGUGCCAACAGCACAAGGAGGUAACACAGCAUGCUCAUCUCCAAAGCAGGUUGAGAGAGGAAACUUGCAGGUGAUUACAAGGCAAAACUGAAUGUACACAGACACACUGUAAAGGCCUCUUCAUUUCUAAAUACAUUAUGGCUUUCAGUGGAUAGGCAUCCCACUAAUAAAUUCUGUCUUUAUAGCAGAACUAUAGGAAAAAUAGUAUUUUUUUGUGAUAGGCCAUUCUGGCUUCUAGUGAACAAUUCUGAUGAAUGUGGUUGAAUCGAAUCUACCUCUCUGAAGAGAAUUUAUCUUGGCUCAUGACAGGAGAAAUCAUACAGUGUUUUUUCAUAAUAAGUAUGACUAAGUAAACCAAGAAAAUAGAUCACUAAUUAGAGACUAUUGAAUCCUACUAUGAAAUUACAUCUGCUCUUGUUCUCCCAUAUCUAACCAUAUCUAACAUGUAAAUAGGGAUGCAUUAUUACCAAUUUCUCUUGGUCAUGAGUAUAUUCCUCCUUAACAGCCAGUAUUAUUACUUUCUGAUUCAUAAAGAAAUAGCAAUUCCAAUUAUUCUGGCUAUGAAAUUAAAAUUAUAUUCAUCCACACCUUGCCUUUUUUCCCCUUACUUUAGGAUUUCCCAUUUGUUUCUUUCCUCUCUUUUCUCUCUAGUAAAUCUAGAUUUCAUGUAUGAAUACUGAUAAAACUUGAUUAAGAAUUCAGAAGAUUUUUUUGCCCCCAAGUUACCUGAAGACAUUCAGUUGAUCCAGAUUCAUGAUGGCAGAUGGACUUAAGUUCAGCCAAGACCAGUAAAUAACUCUAUUUAAAGACUGAAAGAAAUUGUGGGUCAUGUAGUUUUGCAUUCCUUGUGCUUUAACUCUUUUAAAACUUACUACAGGAAAGACACCGUUUUUGUGGAAAUGAAAACAAAAAUAAGUGCUUCCCUGUACACAUUUUCAUGGAAGGUGCUCUUAAUUGUUCAUUCAUAUGCAUUUAGAAGCUUCUUUUCUCUUGUGCAUUUACACCAUUGUUGUACCUCUCUUUCAUGAUUUCACUACUGUUUGCUAAAGAAUCAAUAGAAUACUAUGGCUUACCAUUGAGUAUCCAAAUAAAAUCCAAAUAUUGUCACUAUAUCUUUUCAUUUAGACCUUUUCAUCAGAUACCUUCUAAGUUCAACUCAUAAUCAGAGAUUCAGUUGGAGAUAUUAAGUCAUUGUUCAGCUUAUCUAACCUUCUGCAUUGAUUUAUUAUUUGAUAAUCAGAGUAAUUCUUAUGUUGCUUAAUAUAUUCAGUUGAGAUAGCAUACUUAAUACUUCAGCAAUGUAAAUGGUUUCAUUAUUUAAAUAAAAUCCUAGUUUAAUGGCAGUAACAUUUUCAUAUUGAACAUAUAUAUUAGGCAUUUCCUUCAUUUUUAGAUGUUGAAUGUUUCCUACAAGGACCAUAAUUGCUUUGUAUAUUAAUAUCAUUACAUAUCUUUUUCAUUAACUUUGGCUUGUCAACUGCCAUCUCAGUUUUGUAUUUUGUUAAGAUAUGUUCUGUCUGCAUUAAUAUGCUGGUGUCAGCAGACCAUGAUUUUAAUCAUUUUGCAAGUUAUUUAAAGAUUUAUGUUAUUACCAGUAACAGGAAAAAAUUUGGAGCUAAUUUUUAGAAGUAGGCUGCUAGAGACUAAUUUUUAAAAAUGUGAUUUUCCAGAUAGCCUGUAAUCCUUUUUAUUUUUUCAGAAGAAUUAUUUUUAUGACUAAAGUUUCUUUUUAAUUUUGGAGUUUUCCAUGUUAAAAGUAUACAGAGAAAUUUGGAAGCAAAAUAUGUCAUGUCAUAUUGCAUAUUCAACUGAAAUGAUGUUUUUGGCUAGUUUAACUAGUUGUUCUGAGGCCUUAUAGUUUUCAGGUUUUAUGAAGUUUCUCUGGUAUGGGGCUCUCUGUUUCUGAGUUUUAGUGCUUGAAUCAAUCAGAUCUGAGUAAAGAUUUCUCAAAAAACUGGAGAUGGGAUUGCAAGUGUAAACCAGCACUGUAACUCACCAAGAGAGAAUUGCAAUGGUUGUCUUUCACUGUCUAAAUGUCAACACACUUGAAACAAAAGACAUUUGCUUGGCAUAGUAUUGAAUACUUUUUCACUAAAUACUUAGCAGCAUCUGAGGAAAUAAACUGACAUGGUCUAUUAUCUUAGUUUACUUAGAACUCAGUAAAAACUUAAGGACUUGUAUGUAACUUCAUAAUGUGUUUAAGAAUAAAGAAUAUGUAGUGUGUACUUAUAAUAAUCUGUGUAGCUGUUGUGAUGAAGAUGACAAGGCACUUAGAGGAAGCUUUAUUACACAGUAUGUAUCUUUUUAAUUUGAUAAUGCUUUCUCUGCAGAAUUUUAAUCACGGUUGUAGACAUCAGGAUCCCAGUACUCCAAGGUAGCAAUGACCUCCAGGCAUUGAUUCUCUAAGUAACAAUUUUUUGUUCUUUACUGUAAAUGCUGUUUUUAGCUAAUUGCAUUUAGCACAGCUGUAACUAACAUUAUCAAAAUAUAGUGAUUCUGUCAUUUCUUAGGAGGCAAAUCCAUACCUCAGUCAUGGCUGAUGUGUAACUUUUUUUAUCCUGGAAGCAACCUUCCCUGUGUUUAGUGACAUCUGUGCUGUUACCCACCUGUAGUACUUCGGUAGUGAGUAAUUAGUGUCUCCUCACUUGCCAUCAGCUCAAACUGAAUUAACUGUCUACAUUUUCAUUUCUAAGUCUGAUUAUUUUCUACUUUGUGUGAAACUGCAUAGUAAAUAUUCCACCAUCUUUGGAUGGCAUUCCUGUAUCUCAUACAGUAUUAUUCAAGUCGAAGCCCUUACCCAAAGGUGACAGCAACUUCAAGUACGAGCAGAGAAAUCUGCUGGAAACACAGGAGCUUUUUCCUUGUAACUCUGCCGGAGCAGUCUUUGGAAUAUGGAUGCCUCUGGAUAACCGCGCAAAGUUCGAGCAGGUGUUGAGGCGGCGACGGGCUCGGUGCGGGCAAGGGCCCUGCCCAGCUCGGUGACGGUGCGGGCCCGUGCCCAGCUCGGUGUGGGAAGGGGCCCGUGCCCAGCUCGGUGAGGAUACGGGCCCGUGCCCAGCUCGGUGACGGUGCGGGCCCGUGCCCAGCUCGGUGUGGGAAGGGGCCCGUGCCCAGCUCGGUGAGGAUACGGGCCCGUGCCCAGCUCGGUGACGGUGCGGACCCGUGCCCAGCUCCGCGGCUCCCCGCGCUCCUCCAGCCGGGGCUGGGCAGCGGCGCCGGGCCCUGCGCGCCGUGGGCAGUAGGUGGUGCUAGAUGAGAAGUGAAGGUGCAGCUCUCGUCAGAAGCUGUAGCUCAAAGCCAGGAUUAGAGCAUUCGGCGGUUUCCGUGUUUGUUUCCUUACUUGUUGCGAUCUUUGGGGUAGGAACACUGAAAGUCGAGGUGGGUGAACUUGAGGGUGGUAGCGGGUGAGAGAUAAAACAUCAGUCGUUUCCCAAAUACCAUUUCUGUAGCGAUAGAAGAUCGCACGAAUCAGCAGGGCAAGGCCAUCUUUCUAAGUGGGAGAGAAAAGAAGAUGCAGGCAUAGCACAAAACGGUUCUGCUUCAGAGCAGAUUUGUUUGAAAGAGCACUGUCAGCUUGUAUGUCGCUGAUUGUGUGUCUGGGCAUGACUGAAAGCCUUAUGUCUUCAGAUUAAUUUAAAGAAUAUAUAAAGGCAAGACCUCCCAGCCGAGUGAGGAGUAGUUUGUAUUCUAAUUAGCCGGAUGUAGGAAGAUAACAAAAUGUCUUUCUGUCUAAAAUCUUACUGAUUAAAUUAUACAGCACAAGUGU
RNAcentral lists this long non-coding RNA (4025 nucleotides) under Taeniopygia guttata (zebra finch). Its description in RNAcentral is "lncRNA (ENSTGUG00000019358.1)". Lineage: Eukaryota; Metazoa; Chordata; Aves; Passeriformes; Estrildidae. The record is from RNAcentral.